CAAUAGCGUAUAUUUAAGUUGUUGCAGUUAAAAAGCUCGUAGUUGGAUUUCGGGUGGGACGCAGCGGUCUCGCAUUGCGUUUGUACUGCUGCAGCCCUCCUUCUUGCCGGGGGCGGCCUCUCGGACUUCACUGUCUGGGGGUCAGAAUCGGCGAUGUUACUUUGAGUAAAUUAGAGUGUUCAAAGCAAGCUUACGCUCUGAAUAUAAUAGCAUGGGAUAACACGACAGGACUCUGGCCUAUCGUGUUGGUCUAUAGGACCAGAGUAAUGAUUAAGAGGGACAGUCGGGGGCAUUCGUAUUCCGUUGUCAGAGGUGAAAUUCUUGGAUUUACGGAAGACGAACAUCUACGAAAGCAUUUGCCAAGGAUGUUUUCAUUG
RNAcentral lists this ribosomal RNA (377 nucleotides) under uncultured eukaryote. RNAcentral's name for it is "partial 18S ribosomal RNA". It matches the Rfam family "Eukaryotic small subunit ribosomal RNA", at positions 592 to 975 of the family's 1831-position model. The record is from RNAcentral.